This 61-nucleotide transfer RNA is filed under the name Camelus ferus (Wild Bactrian camel). It matches the Rfam family "tRNA", at positions 6 to 65 of the family's 71-position model. From Rfam's summary of the family: Transfer RNA (tRNA) molecules are approximately 80 nucleotides in length. Their secondary structure includes four short double-helical elements and three loops (D, anti-codon, and T loops). Lineage: Eukaryota; Metazoa; Chordata; Mammalia; Artiodactyla; Camelidae. The record is from Rfam by way of RNAcentral.
UAUAGCUCAGUGGCAGAGCGCAUGCUUAGCAUGCACGAGGUCCUGGGUUCAGUCCCCAGUA